AGGGGAUCUUCAAAUUUUAAGUUAGAUUCUACAAUUUCUCAUGAACAAUUGGAACAACAUAAACAAAUCUACGUUAAUAAAGGAAAGCACCUGAGGAAUCAAACUCAGUAACCCAGUCAGGCACCCUAUGGUCGUCGUGAGCAUUGUGAUGAUGUGGAAGACAAUGUUGAUAUUUUUUCUGUCCUUGAUCCUGAUUUUGAUUAAUAAACUUAUUGUGAUUAUCACAGCUUUUAUCAAAAUCAGGAUCAAGACUCUCUCUUUUCUUGUGUAAAAUAUGUAUGACAAUAAAAGUAAACAUCUAUCAUUUAUAUUCUGUGUGAUUCAUGUGAGAUCACUACAUACCUUACUAAAU
Molecule: long non-coding RNA, 352 nt
Filed under: Mytilus galloprovincialis (Mediterranean mussel)
Lineage: Eukaryota; Metazoa; Mollusca; Bivalvia; Mytilida; Mytilidae
Source: RNAcentral